ACAGAAACGCUCAGUCUUCUGCCCAUAGUUGCAAUCCUAUACGCCAAGACUACGCCUCAAUAUUCAGCAGCUUCUGGGUAUAUUAGCAUCUUUUUCUUGAAUAAAGCAGCAACAUUUUAUACCAAAUACGAUGCACUAAUGUUCAUCGCUUGCCCUUAUCUGUGCCAAUGUUGAGGUGCUCAAAGCUCCGAAGCUGAUCAUCACGAGUGUCUUUUGUGGCAGUGCCAUGGGAGACUUUAGACCCGGCUCCAGAAUGGAUUCUGU
RNAcentral lists this unclassified non-coding RNA (264 nucleotides) under Hevea brasiliensis (rubber tree). Lineage: Eukaryota; Viridiplantae; Streptophyta; Magnoliopsida; Malpighiales; Euphorbiaceae. The record is from RNAcentral.